RNAcentral lists this ribosomal RNA (1201 nucleotides) under Penicillium sp. F63. Its description in RNAcentral is "SSU rRNA". It matches the Rfam family "Eukaryotic small subunit ribosomal RNA", at positions 434 to 1675 of the family's 1831-position model. The record is from RNAcentral. Lineage: Eukaryota; Fungi; Ascomycota; Eurotiomycetes; Eurotiales; Aspergillaceae.
GCGCAAAUUACCCAAUCCCGAUACGGGGAGGUAGUGACAAUAAAUACUGAUACGGGGCUCUUUUGGGUCUCGUAAUUGGAAUGAGAACAAUUUAAAUCCCUUAACGAGGAACAAUUGGAGGGCAAGUCUGGUGCCAGCAGCCGCGGUAAUUCCAGCUCCAAUAGCGUAUAUUAAAGUUGUUGCAGUUAAAAAGCUCGUAGUUGAACCUUGGGCCUGGCUGGCCGGUCCGCCUCACCGCGAGUACUGGUCCGGCUGGGCCUUUCCUUCUGGGGAACCUCAUGGCCUUCACUGGCUGUGGGGGGAACCAGGACUUUUACUGUGAAAAAAUUAGAGUGUUCAAAGCAGGCCUUUGCUCGAAUACAUUAGCAUGGAAUAAUAGAAUAGGACGUGUGGUUCUAUUUUGUUGGUUUCUAGGACCGCCGUAAUGAUUAAUAGGGAUAGUCGGGGGCGUCAGUAUUCAGCUGUCAGAGGUGAAAUUCUUGGAUUUGCUGAAGACUAACUACUGCGAAAGCAUUCGCCAAGGAUGUUUUCAUUAAUCAGGGAACGAAAGUUAGGGGAUCGAAGACGAUCAGAUACCGUCGUAGUCUUAACCAUAAACUAUGCCGACUAGGGAUCGGACGGGAUUCUAUAAUGACCCGUUCGGCACCUUACGAGAAAUCAAAGUUUUUGGGUUCUGGGGGGAGUAUGGUCGCAAGGCUGAAACUUAAAGAAAUUGACGGAAGGGCACCACAAGGCGUGGAGCCUGCGGCUUAAUUUGACUCAACACGGGGAAACUCACCAGGUCCAGACAAAAUAAGGAUUGACAGAUUGAGAGCUCUUUCUUGAUCUUUUGGAUGGUGGUGCAUGGCCGUUCUUAGUUGGUGGAGUGAUUUGUCUGCUUAAUUGCGAUAACGAACGAGACCUCGGCCCUUAAAUAGCCCGGUCCGCAUUUGCGGCCGCUGGCUUCUUAAGGGGACUAUCGGCUCAAGCCGAUGGAAGUGCGCGCAAUAACAGGUCUGUGAUGCCCUUAGAUGUUCUGGGCCGCACGCGCGCUACACUGACAGGGCCAGCGAGUACAUCACCUUAACCGAGAGGUUUGGGUAAUCUUGUUAACCCUGUCGGCUGGGAUAGAGCAUUGCAAUUAUUGCUCUUCAACGAGGAAUGCCAAGAGCCCGAGUCUCGGCUCGUGGCGGAUUACGUCCCUGCCCCUGCAUCCCCCCCA